Molecule: ribosomal RNA, 501 nt
Filed under: uncultured bacterium
Lineage: Bacteria
Description: partial 16S ribosomal RNA
Rfam family: Bacterial small subunit ribosomal RNA
Source: RNAcentral
AUUGAACGCUGGCGGCAGGCUUAACACAUGCAAGUCGAGCGGAGAUGAGGUGCUUGCACCUUAUCUUAGCGGCGGACGGGUGAGUAAUGCUUAGGAAUCUGCCUAUUAGUGGGGGACAACAUUCCGAAAGGAAUGCUAAUACCGCAUACGUCCUACGGGAGAAAGCAGGGGAUCUUCGGACCUUGCGCUAAUAGAUGAGCCUAAGUCGGAUUAGCUAGUUGGUGGGGUAAAGGCCUACCAAGGCGACGAUCUGUAGCGGGUCUGAGAGGAUGGUCCGCCACACUGGGACUGAGACACGGCCCAGACUCCUACGGGAGGCAGCAGUGGGGAAUAUUGGACAAUGGGGGGAACCCCGAUCCAGCCAUGCCGCGUGUGUGAAGAAGGCCUUAUGGUUGUAAAGCACUUUAAGCGAGGAGGAGGCUACUGAGACUAAUACUCUUGGAUAGUGGACGUUACUCGCAGAAUAAGCACCGGCUAACUCUGUGCCAGCCGCCGCGGUAA